UUUUUUUUUUUUCCUUCACUUAUUUCUUUCAUAUGGAUCUUAGCCUUUUCAUCUGACUGUUUAGAUUUUUCUACGUAAGAACUAAGCAACUUUUGGGUUUCAUCGUUUUUACAUAACAACAUCAAAUAAUAUUUACUAUUAUCUUGCCACUAAAGAAAAAUAUCAAAUAGUAAUAAUAACUUCAAAGAAAAGGCUGAAAAUCUAAACAAUCACAUGAAAAGGCUGAAAAAGAUCGGACAUGAGGAAAUAAGUGAGGAAUAAAAAAGAAAAGAUGAAAGAGGGGCAAAGACAAGUCAGAAAAUUUUGGAACCGGGAAAGGAGACUAACCUUAUACUAAAGCAAAGUUUGAACACCCAAAUCCGCCUUACUUUUAUGUUCCAAAUCUUGAAAGCAGGAAAACAACCAAGAGUUCGACAAGGCAGCCAAACUCACUUGCACCCUCUGGUACUUCUCUUCACAGUUGAUCAUUUUGAGAAGAAUUUUUCUCCGUCGUUGCCAUUAAAUAGACAAUGAGUAACAUCAUGCAACAUCAUUGCAAUAUUUAUAUUAUUAUCUUUCUUUUUCACAUUGGGCAAACUACACUUACCCAGUUUCAUUUUACUCACUUUUCAGUUGAAAAAUAUUUUUUUGGGGGAUUUGGUCAAAAAGACAUUAAUUCUUUGAGAUGUUAUUUAUUAAGUUAAUUUUAAUUGAAAAGAUAUACCUUUUAUUAAAUAUUAUUUUCUAUUUAUUUAUUUAUUUUUCUUUGUUUGUUCUUUUUAUCCAAGAUUUC
RNAcentral lists this long non-coding RNA (772 nucleotides) under Durio zibethinus. Its description in RNAcentral is "long non-coding RNA (DZIB_LNC001956)". Lineage: Eukaryota; Viridiplantae; Streptophyta; Magnoliopsida; Malvales; Malvaceae. The record is from RNAcentral.